RNAcentral lists this ribosomal RNA (345 nucleotides) under uncultured bacterium. Its description in RNAcentral is "bacterial SSU rRNA". It matches the Rfam family "Bacterial small subunit ribosomal RNA", at positions 335 to 662 of the family's 1533-position model. The record is from RNAcentral.
ACUCCUACGGGAGGCAGCAGUGGGGAAUAUUGCACAAUGGGCGCAAGCCUGAUGCAGCCAUGCCGCGUGUAAUUGGAAGAAGGCCUUCGGGUUGUAAAGUUACUUUCAGCAAGUGAGGAAGGUGGGAUAUGUUAAAUAGCAUAUUCAUUUGACGUAGCNGCAGAAAGAAGCNCCGGGCUAACUCCGUGCCAGCAGCCGCGGUAAUACGGAGGGUGCGAGCGUUAAUCGGAAUUACUGGGCGUAAAGCGCAUGCAGGUGGUUUGUUAAGUCAGAUGUGAAAGCCCGGGGCUCAACCUCGGAAUUGCAUUUGAAACUGGCAAAAACUAGAGUACUGUAGAGGGGGGU